Molecule: microRNA precursor, 60 nt
Filed under: Callithrix jacchus (white-tufted-ear marmoset)
Lineage: Eukaryota; Metazoa; Chordata; Mammalia; Primates; Cebidae
Also listed under: 4 other names
Description: Cja-Mir-430-P2_pre stem-loop
Rfam family: mir-302 microRNA precursor family
Source: RNAcentral
GCUUUAACAUGGGGGUACCUGCUGUGUGAAACAAAAGUAAGUGCUUCCAUGUUUCAGUGG